Molecule: ribosomal RNA, 463 nt
Filed under: uncultured bacterium
Lineage: Bacteria
Description: partial 16S ribosomal RNA
Rfam family: Bacterial small subunit ribosomal RNA
Source: RNAcentral
GAUGAACGCUGACAGAAUGCUUAACACAUGCAAGUCUUUGGCGAAGCUGUGCUUGCACAGCCUAGCCAAGGCGGACGGGUGAGUAACGCGUAAGGAACUUGCCCUGCAGUCAGGGAUAACAGACGGAAACGACUGAUAAGACCUGGUAAAGUCAGGCGGACUCAUGUCCAGCCUGAUGAAAAGAGAUGCUGCAGGAGAGCCUUGCGUCCUAUUAGCUUGUUGGUGGGGUAACGGCCCACCAAGGCGAUGAUAGGUAGCCGGCCUGAGAGGGUGGACGGCCACAAGGGGACUGAGAUACGGCCCUUACUCCUACGGGAGGCAGCAGUGGGGAAUAUUGGACAAUGGGGGCAACCCUGAUCCAGCAAUUCUGUGUGCACGAUGAAGGUUUUCGGAUUGUAAAGUGCUUUCAGCUGGGAAGAAAAAAAUGACGGUACCUGCAGAAGAAGCGACGGCUAAAUACGUG